This 319-nucleotide ribosomal RNA is filed under the name uncultured bacterium. RNAcentral describes it as "bacterial SSU rRNA". It matches the Rfam family "Bacterial small subunit ribosomal RNA", at positions 29 to 334 of the family's 1533-position model. The record is from RNAcentral.
AACGAACGCUGGCGGCGUGCCUAACACAUGCAAGUCGAACGAGAAAGUCACUUCGGUGGCGAGUAAAGUGGCGCACGGGUGAGUAACACGUAGGUGACCUGCCCUUUAGUCUGGAAUAACUAGGAGAAAUCUUGGCUAAUACCGGAUACGCAGAGCAACUUUGGAAGGAGCUCUGGAAAGAAUGCCUCUGCAUAUGCAUUCGCUAAAGGAUGGGCCUGCGGGACAUUAGCUUGAUGGUGGGGUAAUGGCCUACCAUGGCUGCGAUGUCUAGCCGGAUUGAGAGAUUGAUCGGCCACACUGGGACUGAGACACGGCCCAG